RNAcentral lists this ribosomal RNA (765 nucleotides) under Kocuria palustris. Its description in RNAcentral is "bacterial SSU rRNA". It matches the Rfam family "Bacterial small subunit ribosomal RNA", at positions 48 to 822 of the family's 1533-position model. Lineage: Bacteria; Bacillati; Actinomycetota; Actinomycetes; Micrococcales; Micrococcaceae. The record is from RNAcentral.
UUAACACAUGCAAGUCGAACGCUGAAGCACCAGCUUGCUGGUGUGGAUGAGUGGCGAACGGGUGAGUAAUACGUGAGUAACCUGCCCUUGACUCUGGGAUAAGCCCGGGAAACUGGGUCUAAUACUGGAUGCUACAUGUCACCGCAUGGUGGUGUGUGGAAAGGGUUUACUGGUCUUGGAUGGGCUCACGGCCUAUCAGCUUGUUGGUGAGGUAAUGGCUCACCAAGGCGACGACGGGUAGCCGGCCUGAGAGGGUGACCGGCCACACUGGGACUGAGACACGGCCCAGACUCCUACGGGAGGCAGCAGUGGGGAAUAUUGCACAAUGGGCGAAAGCCUGAUGCAGCGACGCCGCGUGAGGGAUGACGGCCUUCGGGUUGUAAACCUCUUUCAGCAGGGAAGAAGCCACAAGUGACGGUACCUGCAGAAGAAGCGCCGGCUAACUACGUGCCAGCAGCCGCGGUAAUACGUAGGGCGCAAGCGUUGUCCGGAAUUAUUGGGCGUAAAGAGCUCGUAGGCGGUUUGUCGCGUCUGCUGUGAAAGCCCGGGGCUUAACCCCGGGUGUGCAGUGGGUACGGGCAGACUAGAGUGCAGUAGGGGAGACUGGAAUUCCUGGUGUAGCGGUGGAAUGCGCAGAUAUCAGGAGGAACACCGAUGGCGAAGGCAGGUCUCUGGGCUGUUACUGACGCUGAGGAGCGAAAGCAUGGGGAGCGAACAGGAUUAGAUACCCUGGUAGUCCAUGCCGUAAACGUUGGGCACUAGGUG